AACAGGGCCAUCGAUUUGAUUUCCUAAAGGAUUCUCAUCUGGAGUUGGCUUCUUCAUCACCCAUUUCAGGUCUGGUCCAGCAUCCCCAGGCAUGUGGCAAUGGCAGAGCCCUACGUGAAUCCUGGCAUGGGUCCACUGAGCAGCACUGGUGAAUUCUGGCUCUGGAGCUUGGGGUUUUUAAAAGCUGGCAUUUUGUGAGGACACUUGAUGGCAGCUGGAGGCUUCGAGAGGCGAAGUGGCUUUCUCAAAGGCGCAUAUCCGGGAAGCAGUGAGCCUAGGAUUUGAACACAGGCAGCCUGCGGCAGGAGCCUGCACAGCUAACUACUAUGCUCCUUGUAAGGACACAGACCACAUGAGGAGCUGCAGAGAGGUGGAAAGUCGAGCUAAGUCGAUCCAUGGCCUGAGAGAGGCUCUGGCUAGGAGACCACCAGAAACAGUUUGCCAACCCCUGCUCUAGAAGGUAAACUUCUGGAGGACAAAGCUAUUGUCUCUUUGCUUCCCGCUCUGUCCACGGAACUUAGUCUGAUUCCUGCGCAGGGUGAUCUUCUGACAGGGAUGGUGAAGACUAGGUCCCUGCCCACCUGGAGCUAACAUUCCAGAGGAAGCUAAUGGCUUUUGGGGUUGUUUCCACUUUUUGGCAGUGAAAGUCCUUGCCCUUAAACACUGGUCUGGGUCACUCAGCCCACUCCCCAUCUGAGGGAGAGCCCUUGGGCACCUCAGCUCUGCUCCUCAGCUCCAUGUCCUCAUCUGUACACUGGAGGCACACAGAGGGACCACCAUGUGAAGAGUACAAGCUAAGGAGAGAGGCCUCAGGGGAAAGCAACUCUGCUGGCAUCUUGAUCUUGGACUUCCAGCCUCCAGAACCGUGAGAAAGUAAAUUUGUGUUGUUUAAGUGGAAAAAAAAAAAGCUCACAAAAUUACUGGAAAUUUAACAAUCGGCUCUCACAAGCCAGUAUAUGCUGGAUUCAGCACACUAUUGCCUCCAACCCCUGGGCCAAUGGGAGCCCAUGGAAGUUCCUCAGAUCAGCUCUGAAGCCGUCCCCUUGCUGGUCUCUGAAGAAUUCCUCUUAGAAGGCACCUACACUGCAGGCCCAACCAAGAUGGCUGCCCUUUUUAUCAACUCUUAGAGUCCUGAGUGUGAAUGGGAGGUAGCCAGCCUACAAAUGCAUCCUUUGCUGUGCGUCACCUCCUCCAGGGAAGUUAAGUUUGUCCUGUCUGAGUGUGGACUGCUUCAGAAAGAGGAUUCAAAGAUAAUCAAUUUUCAGCCUGUGGACUACUUGAGAAAAUUCUAGCAACUGUCGCAAAGGAAGUUUUAUGUGAAAGGAAAAGUACUCAGAGGUCCAAAGAAAUCAGAGUGGGGAAUUCCACUUUCCUUCAGGAACACUGAAGAGAAGUUCCAGAGACCAAAUCUAUUCUGUUGACUUCCUGUCAAGGCAUUGUGGGUAACCUCCUCCCACAACAAGAAGCCAGGUCAGGGCCGAGGCCCCAUGCAGGCUUGAGGCCUUCUUGCUCCUGUGCUCUGUGCUGGGCCUGGCCGUAGAGAUAGCCGGCAGGGCGCCGUUCCUUUCAGCUGCCUCUCCCCUGCCUCACCCAUGACUCCCCUGGGUUUCUGUUGCUCCAGGGGAGCCCAUUGGAGCAUUAUCCUGGAAGAAAGCCAUCUGGGCUGAAUGAGCAGCGUCUGCUUUCUGAGGGAGCCGCUCUGCUGCCCCAGUGACUGCCGGCUCCUGGCCCUGGGCCAUUGUGGAAGGACAAAGCUGACACACACAACAAUCCCACGACAAUCUCCUCUCAGCUCUUUCUUCUUUAUUAUUGUUAUUAUUACCUUUCAAACACUCCAGCUUCUUGGGCUCGUUAUCUCUGGUGAGGCCUUUGGCCAAAGUGUGCGGGGGUCAUUUCUCCCUCCUCUGCACCCCCACGGCCUCAUCGGCCCAGCUUCACUGCUGUCUCUUUGACAGAAUACAUAAAACCGAUACUGAUCGGUUAACAUACAUGACAUCUUUAAACUUUAAUCCGUUUUCCCUCUCUCGACGCGGCGGGCCGGCCUCUGUAGAGGUGCCCAUGCAUUGUUCCCUGUCAAAGCCUUCUUGAGUGGGUUUCCCACUGAGUCACUUUUGUGUGAGUCAAAUCAAGAUUAUAGGUAGCGGAGAAGAGAAAGCCGAGAAGAGAAGGUUAGCCCCUCAUUUUAGACUUUAAGAAAAAUCUGCCAGCAGGGGCCAGUCGGAGUGGGUAACGUACAUGAAAGACCAAGUCCAAGCUGGGUCGCCCGUGUCACCAGAGGAGUUUUUCAGGGAGAAGCACACAAAACACGCAUUGUCGUGGUCGCACACAGAGACAUAAAUUUAGGAACAUGUUCGCCCUUCGCCUGAACAUAGUUAGCUCUGAUAAUGAGGAACAAUGAGCUGGAAUGAAACCUCCUGGACAGAGGAGAGAAAGCAUUGAUGACACUUGCUCAUUCUCCCACAAAAGUGGCUUCUCUCUUCCUCCUCUCAUCUCCCUCCGGUGCCAAAUGACCCUCAGCCACUCACCACUGUCCUCCUGCACCCUCGCUUGGUGGAAUAGUGGAAAGGUGAGGUGUCCAAUAGGAGGACAGUGGCCUUGCUGGCUCAUCCAAACUGGAGAAAGAUCCUUCUUGGCAUCUGAAGUGCCUUUGGAGAAAGCUCCGUCAACGGUGCUACUUACAUAAUGGACAAGGGGUGCAGCUACCAAUUCUUACUCUCCAAAUGGCAGUGGAAAGUUGAGAUGGGGGCGCCUGGGUUCCGUCCUGGCUCUACUAAUUUUAGUUGUGGGGCUUGGUAAAUUCCUUCAUUUCUGAAUACAUUUCCAUUACUUUCCUCUUCUUAAAUGAGAGAGGACCGCCUCACAGGCUUGACAGCAGGACUGAACAUCUGUAAAUCGUAC
Molecule: long non-coding RNA, 2898 nt
Filed under: Equus caballus (horse)
Lineage: Eukaryota; Metazoa; Chordata; Mammalia; Perissodactyla; Equidae
Description: lncRNA (ENSECAG00000060030.1)
Source: RNAcentral